AUUGAACGCUGGCGGCAUGCCUUACACAUGCAAGUCGAACGGCAGCACGGGAGCAAUCCUGGUGGCGAGUGGCGAACGGGUGAGUAAUACAUCGGAACGUGCCCAGUAGUGGGGGAUAACCCGGCGAAAGCCGGACUAAUACCGCAUACGACCUACGGUGAAAGCAGGGGAUCGCAAGACCUUGCGCUAUCGGAGCGGCCGAUGUCAGAUUAGCUAGUUGGUGGGGAAAAGCUCACCAAGGCGACGAUCUGUAGCUGGUCUGAGAGGGCGGACCGGCCACACUGGGACUGAGACACGGCCCAGACUCCUACGGGAGGCAGCAGUGGGGAAUCUUGCGCAAUGGGCGAAAGCCUGACGCAGCGACGCCGCGUGAGGGA
RNAcentral lists this ribosomal RNA (377 nucleotides) under uncultured bacterium. Its description in RNAcentral is "bacterial SSU rRNA". It matches the Rfam family "Bacterial small subunit ribosomal RNA", at positions 29 to 408 of the family's 1533-position model. The record is from RNAcentral.